GCGGGCGUGGCGGAACUGGUAGACGCGCUGGUUUUAGGUGCCAGUGUCCUUGCGACGUGGGGGUUCAAAUCCCUCCGCCCGCACCA
This 86-nucleotide transfer RNA is filed under the name Alphaproteobacteria bacterium. Its description in RNAcentral is "tRNA-Leu". It matches the Rfam family "tRNA". From Rfam's summary of the family: Transfer RNA (tRNA) molecules are approximately 80 nucleotides in length. Their secondary structure includes four short double-helical elements and three loops (D, anti-codon, and T loops). Further hydrogen bonds mediate the characteristic L-shaped molecular structure. tRNAs have two regions of fundamental functional importance: the anti-codon, which is responsible for specific mRNA codon recognition, and the 3' end, to which the tRNAs corresponding amino acid is attached (by aminoacyl-tRNA synthetases). tRNAs cope with the degeneracy of the genetic code in two manners: having more than one tRNA (with a specific anti-codon) for a particular amino acid; and 'wobble' base-pairing, i.e. permitting non-standard base-pairing at the 3rd anti-codon position. The record is from RNAcentral. Lineage: Bacteria; Pseudomonadati; Pseudomonadota; Alphaproteobacteria.